Molecule: ribosomal RNA, 235 nt
Filed under: uncultured bacterium
Lineage: Bacteria
Description: partial 16S ribosomal RNA
Rfam family: Bacterial small subunit ribosomal RNA
Source: RNAcentral
AGCAAAUCNCAAAACAACAGUCUCAGUUCAGAUUGUAGGCUGAAACUCGCCUAUAUGAAGUCGGAAUUGCUAGUAAUCGCGGAUCAGCAUGCCGCGGUGAAUACGUUCCCGGGCCUUGUACACACCGCCCGUCACACCAUGGGAGUUGGCAACACCCGAAGUCGGUAGUCUAACCGCAAGGAGGACGCCGCCGAAGGUGGGGUUGAUGAUUAGGGUUAAGUCGUAACAAGGUAGC